This 22-nucleotide non-coding RNA is filed under the name Arabidopsis thaliana (thale cress). The record is from RNAcentral. Lineage: Eukaryota; Viridiplantae; Streptophyta; Magnoliopsida; Brassicales; Brassicaceae.
AGCUUAGAGGUCGCCGAUUCGA